This 253-nucleotide ribosomal RNA is filed under the name uncultured bacterium. Its description in RNAcentral is "partial 16S ribosomal RNA". It matches the Rfam family "Bacterial small subunit ribosomal RNA", at positions 524 to 776 of the family's 1533-position model. The record is from RNAcentral.
GACGUAGGGCGCGAGCGUUGUCCGGAUUUAUUGGGCGUAAAGAGCUCGUAGGCGGCUUAUCGCGUCGACUGUGAAAUCCCGCGGCUCAACUGCGGGUCUGCAGUCGAUACGGGCAGGCUAGAGUUCGGUAGGGGAGACUGGAAUUCCUGGUGUAGCGGUGAAAUGCGCAGAUAUCAGGAGGAACACCGAUGGCGAAGGCAGGUCUCUGGGCCGAUACUGACGCUGAGGAGCGAAAGCGUGGGGAGCGAACAGG